Molecule: ribosomal RNA, 240 nt
Filed under: uncultured bacterium
Lineage: Bacteria
Description: partial 16S ribosomal RNA
Rfam family: Bacterial small subunit ribosomal RNA
Source: RNAcentral
CGAGCAAUCUGCCCUUCUCAUCGGAAUAAGCGUUGGAAACGACGUCUAAUGCCGAAUACGACCUCCUUUCGCAUGAUCGGAGGUGGAAAGCUCCGGCGGAGAAGGAUGAGCUCGCGGCCUAUCAGCUAGUUGGUGUGGGUAAUGGCCCACCAAGGCGACGACGGGUAGCCGGCCUGGAGGAGGGUGACCCGGCCACACGUGGGACUGAGACACCGGCCCAGACUCCGUACGGGGAGCCAG